RNAcentral lists this transfer RNA (70 nucleotides) under bovine gut metagenome. It matches the Rfam family "tRNA". Rfam says of the family: Transfer RNA (tRNA) molecules are approximately 80 nucleotides in length. Their secondary structure includes four short double-helical elements and three loops (D, anti-codon, and T loops). Further hydrogen bonds mediate the characteristic L-shaped molecular structure. tRNAs have two regions of fundamental functional importance: the anti-codon, which is responsible for specific mRNA codon recognition, and the 3' end, to which the tRNAs corresponding amino acid is attached (by aminoacyl-tRNA synthetases). tRNAs cope with the degeneracy of the genetic code in two manners: having more than one tRNA (with a specific anti-codon) for a particular amino acid; and 'wobble' base-pairing, i.e. permitting non-standard base-pairing at the 3rd anti-codon position. The record is from RNAcentral.
CGACAUAGCUCAGCUGGUAGAGCAACGCACUCGUAACGCGUGGGUCGGAGGUUCAAGUCCUCUUGUCGGC